This is a long non-coding RNA of Gasterosteus aculeatus aculeatus (three-spined stickleback), 311 nucleotides long. The record is from Ensembl. Lineage: Eukaryota; Metazoa; Chordata; Actinopteri; Perciformes; Gasterosteidae.
AGAGAAAUAAGAGUGACGGAGAAAUAUGAAGUGACACGGAGCGUCACUGGCACAUCCUGUGUGAGUGAAACCUCCUGUUUGACCGUUGCAGGUGAGACAUGAGAGGCGUGACGAGUCCAAACAAGAGAGUCCAGCCAGGUGGAUGUGGUGGGUGAGGUGGGUGAGGUGGAUGAGGUAGGUGAGCUGGAUGAGGUGCGUGAGGUGGGUGAGCUGGGUGAGGUGGGUGAGGUGGGUGAGGUGUGAGGUGGGUGAGGUGGGUGAGGUGGGUGAGCUGGGUGAGGUGGGUGAGGUGGGUGAGGUGGAUGAGGUGG